Molecule: unclassified non-coding RNA, 329 nt
Filed under: soil metagenome
Description: partial contains 5.8S ribosomal RNA, internal transcribed spacer 2, and large subunit ribosomal RNA
Rfam family: 5.8S ribosomal RNA (bases 1-120)
Source: RNAcentral
GAUGAAGAACGUAGCGAAAUGCGAUAAGUAAUGUGAAUUGCAGAAUUCAGUGAAUCAUCGAAUCUUUGAACGCACAUUGCGCCCCUUGGUAUUCCGAGGGGCAUGCCUGUUCGAGCGUCAUUAUAACCCCUCAAGCUCAGCUUGGUGUUGGGGCCUGCUGCACUGGCAGCCCUUAAAAUCAGUGGCGGCGCCAUCUGGCUCUAAGCGUAGUAAUUCUUCUCGCUAUGGAGUCCUGGUGGAUGCUUGCCAUAAACCCCCAAUUUUUCUAUGGUUGACCUCGGAUCAGGUAGGGAUACCCGCUGAACUUAAGCAUAUCAAUAAGCGGAGGA